This 459-nucleotide ribosomal RNA is filed under the name uncultured bacterium. RNAcentral's name for it is "partial 16S ribosomal RNA". It matches the Rfam family "Bacterial small subunit ribosomal RNA", at positions 338 to 795 of the family's 1533-position model. The record is from RNAcentral.
CCUACGGGAGGCAGCAGUGAGGAAUAUUGGUCAAUGGCCGUAAGGCUGAACCAGCCAAGUAGCGUGAGUGAAGACUGUCCUAUGGGUUGUAAACCUCUUUUAUGCGGGGAUAAAGGUGUCCACGUGUGGAUGUUUGCAGGUACCGCAUGAACAAGGACCGGCUAAUUCCGUGCCAGCAGACGCGGUAAUACGGAAGGUUGGGGCGUUAUCCGGAUUUAUUGGGUGAAAAGGGUGCGUAGGCGGAAUGCCAAGUCAGCGGUAAAAUCGCGGGGCUAAACCUCGCUCUGCCGUUGAAACUGGGGUUCUUGAGUGGGCGAGAGGUAUGCGGAAUGCGUGGUGUAGCGGUGAAAUGCAUAGAUAGCACGCAGAACUCCGAUUGCGAAGGCAGCAUACCGGCGCCCAACUGACGCUGAAGCACGAAAGCGUGGGUAUCGAACAGGAUUAGAUACCCCAGUAGUC